Molecule: ribosomal RNA, 408 nt
Filed under: uncultured bacterium
Lineage: Bacteria
Description: partial 16S ribosomal RNA
Rfam family: Bacterial small subunit ribosomal RNA
Source: RNAcentral
GAUGAACGCUGCCAGAAUGCUUAACACAUGCAAGUCGAACGAAGUGGCGAACGGGUGAGUAACGCGUAAUCAACCUGCCCUUCAGAGGGGGACAACAGUUGGAAACGACUGCUAAUACCGCAUACUGAAGGAGGGGAUUGCGUCUGAUUAGCUAGUGGGAGGGGUAACGGCCCACCAAGGCGACGAUCAGUAGCGGGUCUGAGAGGAUGAUCCGCCACACUGGGACUGAGACACGGCCCAGACUCCUACGGGAGGCAGCAGUGGGGAAUUUUGGACAAUGGGCGCAAGCCUGAUCCAGCCAUGCCGCGUGUCUGAAGAAGGCCUUCGGGUUGUAAAGGACUUUUGUCAGGGAAGCGGUACCUGAAGAAUAAGCACCGGCUAACUACGUGCCAGCAGCCGCGGUAAUAC